UCUGCCUGCCGCUCAGAUCUCAGUAGUACCACAAGUAGAGCGUAUUUACUUUUCACCCAAAUACGUGCUCUGUACACUCCGUCAGAUCGAUGGGAUCUGCAGGUUAGCUUGUUCUAGCUUGCUUCAAAAUGGAAAUCGGUAGCUUGCUCCUCUUUCCUCUUUGCCUUCUUUUUUCCUCCUUAUCUUGUUCCUCACCCUGAGCUAAACUGAGCUGAGCCGCCCCAGCUCAUCUAGGUAAGGCCGGUGGAUCUCUCAGUCUCCUUUUUUUGCACGUACGUAGAUAUAAUAUAUCUCUGGGCAGCUGAGAGGUCCAUUGUUUGUUCAUCUGGUUCUACGAAGAACCUGCUUCUGUAUGCUUUUUUUUUCCCGCAGGGAUCUACAUGUAUAUUAGUACCACUUAUGAUGGCGAUUUCUCUUAUUAUCCUGUGACCAACUGGCCAUAUACUGCAUCUCAUUCCAUACUAAGUCGCUAGCUGAUUCCCUAUUUCCUUGGCAUCUGAUUUAGCAAAGGUUUUUGUGCCAUGCCCCCUCCUAGAUCUGCUUCUUCUUCCUCCUCCCCAAAUGCUCAUACUACCGGGACGGAUUCCCAGCCGGUUGCGGGAACGACCACGUUAUAAGCGUAGAUCCAUGAUACAUAAUACCUCUUCUAAUCAACCGAUGCUGUAGAUGACCAUGAGGGGCGACUCAGAUGAGCACUACUACUACUACUAUAGUUUUUGAACCGCAGAAAAUAGAUGAGUACCACUAUCACAUGAAAGUUUAACCUUGAUUUCUAAUAUACUCCAUUGUUUUAAGUUUUUUUCUCUCCGAUCUAGCUCUGACCUGUACUCUGGCUUAUUUGAUACUUCCUUCAUUCCGUAUUACUUGCCGCUGAUGUAGUACAAACCUACUAAAUAAGCAACAAGUAAUAUAGAAUGGAACGGAGGAGUAGUUUAUUUUACCAUCUUGUAGAUUCAUGACGGCCACCCUGCUCAUGGGCGAUGCGUGAUUGUGCGCACUCGGAUGGAUCUGGCUCUUCCUUACAAGUUACAUUGCCACCAGAUAGGGAAAUAUCGAUGUGAAGCUAUUAACGAUCCAUGGAAAGAAGAAAAUAGGCGGAAAUCGGAAAAGGUACAUAUCUAAACUCAAAAUAGGAGUAAAUGCUCGCAGGCUACGCUGAAGCAAAAGUACAAACAAUCAUCCUCCCAUUAGAAUCACUCAACAACAAUGCAUAUCUUGUAAAUUGUUAGUUGGGGGAAGAUGGUCAGGUUGUAGCAACAUUGUUAAAUAGAACACUUCAAUUCUAAUGAUUUGGAUCUGAUCUAGCAUUAUGCUGGAGAGGUGUCAGGUGAUGCUAAAUUCAGUGUUCCAGAUGCAAGAGUUGUGCAAGAACGUGUAUAAUGAAAACGUAAGUUCUAUUUCCUAGAAAAUCUUUGAUUACUAAAUGCCUGUUUCAGUAGGAAACUCUGGUGUCAUAUUCAGGAUUUUGUUAUACAAGUAUCCUUGUUAACACAAAAUUAUGCAUAAAAAGACAUGUAAUUAAGUAGAACAUAUAAUAGCUGGAAACUAUGAUAUAUAAUUAAGUAGAAUAGAUAACAGUUUUGAUACGAAAUUAUGCACAACUAAGAUAUAUAAUUUAGUAAAACAUAUAUAUAGUUUUACGGGGAAAGUAAGACACAUAACUACUCAUCUGUUGUCAUGCUUCAUGAAGAUUAAUGGUGAGUUUUGUUUUUUGUUUUUUUGUGAUGGUGAACAGUGUCAUCAUCUUUGGUUUACAUGUAUAAGCGUCAUCAUGUAUUUGGUUGGUAACUCUUGGAAGGGUUAUCAUGUUUACAUACAUGAGAAAAAUUGGGCAAAUAAAAUACCCCCAAACUCUUUUCACCUGACCAAAAUGAAGAGGAUAGAAUCUGUUUUUGCUCAUGUGGAACUAUGGUAGUGACAACGAAAAAUCCCAGAGUGGCUAGGCACGUCAGCAACUCGGCAUGUUAACAAUAUAAACACCAAUCUGAGAGGGGUCCUAGAUGGACAAGUUACUUCGGCAGUGAAACAAAACAAAAAUCCUAAGUAGACAAGGUACCUAGGCGAUGAAACAAAACAAACAAAUUAUGCUAUUCACACUAUGCCCAAUAAUCAUUUUUGUCAAGUUAUAAUUGACAUUUCUACCUCGUCUCUCACACCUGUCCGCAUUUUACUCUAUAACAUUCCAUUUAUUUCAGCCUGCAAAUUCACAAGGCUGAAACAAAUACAAUAUCAACUGUGAAGGACAUACACUAGUUUCAUGCUAAACUCAGGCAUUAUCAGCUUAAUGCUUCCACUUUUAGGUUAACCAAUACACGCAUAAGCUAUCCCCUAUUUAGAAGCAACAGUUAAUAAUAUGUUAAAUUGGGAUGUGCUUAAACAGCUUCUAAUACAUAUUUUUACUAUUAAAUUGCAAUCGGUGGUGUCAGUAGGUAGAAAACCCGUUUGGUACAUCCAAAAUCCAAGCUUCAUGCCUCAAAAAGCCGGAAGCUAUCACUCGCCAAAAAACCCGAAAACCAGCGUGAUAUAGCGAUCCGCACCAAAAAACUGGAAAACCAACACGAUAUAGCGAUCCCGCGUCAAAAAACCGGUUGAACCACAUCGAUCGUCGCACAUAAAAAAACCGCUUGCUAAAGUUACAGGCUUUGCCACCGCCAAGUGAAACGUAUCGUUUCGCUGUUCUGUUCUGUGGAAAAGAAGAAAAAAACGUUCAUCUCGCAACUGCUCCAGAUCUGGGGCACAACAUGGCCGAUGCAGGGAUUGAUCUCAAUCCGGCUAUGGCUCAAGCUGGAGCACCAGGGCUGGAGUCAGUGCUCCUUCCGCCUUCGCGUAGAUCACCCCUCUUGUUAUCCGCUUUGUAGGAGGUACCCUCUGGUUCCUUAUUCUAAAUUGUGGUAUUUUUGUUGUAGAAUUGUCAAAAAACUUCUGAAACUUAAGAUAUUAUUUAGACCCUGAAGAAGAUUGUUUUUUGGUAACUAUAUAUAUUGUUUUUGUUAGUGUUAGACCCUGAAGAAGAUUGAACUGACGAGAGGUGUUGCUUAAGAUAUUAUUUAGAUGCUAGUUCCUUAAUCUAUUAUUAGGUCGCACUGUCCGAACUACUAAAGGAGUAAACUAUUUUAGAAAAGGUUAACAAAAAUAAAUUAGUUGGUACUUACUCUUGGUAAGGAAAAAAGAGCAGACAUGGGUACAAAUUAAUCUUAACACUCUUAAACAAACAUGAAAUAAAAACUAAUCAUUAAUAGGCGCGUACAUAUCAAUUAUUGACCCAUUGCAAGCGCACGGGCACUUAGCUAGCACCAAAAUAAUAUGCAAAUGCAAGUGACAGUAAGAGACAUCCCUAGACCUUGAUUAUUAUGUUUGUCUAAUUUGAUACAUAGGAAUAUCCACUAUAAGUAAAUUCUAUACUUUUUUACCAGGGACGUAAGAUAUACAGCAUAAUUACUCUUCCCUAGUGAUUUUCAAUGAAGCAUCAUGGUGAUUUUUUGGCUUUUCUUUUGCAAGGGUGACCAGUGUCAUUUUGGCUGACAUGCAUAAGCGUCGUCACCUAUUUUGCUGUUAACUCUUUGAAGGGAUAUAAUGUCUACAGGCUUGAGAAAAAAUGGGCAAACAAGAUAACCCCAAAACUCUCUUCACCUGACCGAAAUGAAGAGGACAUUUUCGGUCAUGUGGAACUAUGGUAGUGAUAAAAAAAGAGCACAUGCUUGCGGGCUGUACUGAAGCACAAGUAGAAACAAUCAUCCUCACAUUAGAAUCACUCAACAGCAAUGCAGACCUCGCAUUAGAAUCACUCGACAGCAAUGCAGAGAUCUUGUGAAUUGUCAGUUCGCGGAAGAUUAUCAGGCUGUAUGGCUUUGUUAAAUAAAAACAUUUUGAUUCUAAAUUUCAACCAGGUAUGAUUUGGAUCUGCUAUAAUAUUACGUUAGAGAAGUGCCAUGUGAUGUUAAAUUCACUGCUCCGAAUGCAAGAUCUCUCCAAGAAUGUGUAAUGAGAAUGUAAGUCCACUUUCCUAGAGAACCUUUGACUACUAAAUGCCUAUUUCAGAAGGAAACUCAGAUGUAUAUCAUGCAGCAUUUUUUUUAAUGCAAAUCUUGUAACACUCUUUUUGUAA
This is a long non-coding RNA of Lolium rigidum, 4105 nucleotides long. RefSeq lists it as uncharacterized. The record is from RefSeq and is a predicted model, not a curated record. Lineage: Eukaryota; Viridiplantae; Streptophyta; Magnoliopsida; Poales; Poaceae. The transcript has 2 exons.